RNAcentral lists this ribosomal RNA (253 nucleotides) under uncultured bacterium. RNAcentral's name for it is "partial 16S ribosomal RNA". It matches the Rfam family "Bacterial small subunit ribosomal RNA", at positions 524 to 776 of the family's 1533-position model. The record is from RNAcentral.
AACGUAGGGGGCGAGCGUUAUCCGGAAUCACUGGGCGUAAAGGGCGUCUAGGCGGUCCAGUAAGUCCUGCGUGAAAGCUCCCGGCUCAACUGGGAGAGCGCGUGGGAGACUGUUGGGCUAGAGACUCGGAGAGGGGUGUGGAAUUCCCGGUGGAGUGGUGAAAUGCGUUGAGAUCGGGAGGAACACCAGUGGCGAAGGCGGCGCCCUGGCCGAGUUCUGACGCUGAAGCGCGACAGCGUGGGGAGCAAACGGG